RNAcentral lists this ribosomal RNA (449 nucleotides) under uncultured bacterium. RNAcentral describes it as "bacterial SSU rRNA". It matches the Rfam family "Bacterial small subunit ribosomal RNA", at positions 29 to 506 of the family's 1533-position model. The record is from RNAcentral.
AUGAAUGCUGGCGGCGUGCCUAAUACAUGCAAGUCGAGCGGUAACAGGUCUAGUUUACUAGAUGCUGACGAGCGGCGGACGGCUGAGUAACGCGUGGGAACAUGCCCCAAAGUGAGGGAUAAGCAUCGGAAACGGUGUCUAAUACCGCAUAUGGUCUUCGGAUUAAAGGAUUUAUCCGCUUUGGGAGUGGCCCGCGUACGAUUAGGUAGUUGGUGAGGUAAUGGCUCGCCAAGCCUACGAUCGUUAACUGGUCUGAGAGGAUGAUCAGUCAGACUGGAACUGAGACACGGUCCAGACUCCUACGGGAGGCAGCAGUAAGGAAUCUUCCACAAUGGGCGAAAGCCUGAUGGAGCAACGCCGCGUGCAGGAUGAAGGCCUUCGGGUCGUAAACUGCUUUUAUGAGUGAAGAAUAUGACGGUAACUCAUGAAUAAGCACCGGCUAACUACGU